GAUCUUUAUUUUUAUUUUUUAUAAAUUAAUUAGAUUAAAAAAAUUUAUAAUUAAAUUAAAAAUUUUACUGGGGUGGUAUUAAAAUUUAAUUAACUUUUAUAUUUUGUUACAUAAAUAUAUGAAUAAUUGAUCCAAUUUUAUUGAUUAAAAAAUUAAGUUACCUUAGGGAUAACAGCGUAAUUUUUUUUUAGAGUUCAUAUCGACAAAAAAGAUUGC
Molecule: ribosomal RNA, 216 nt
Filed under: Wyeomyia bourrouli
Lineage: Eukaryota; Metazoa; Arthropoda; Insecta; Diptera; Culicidae
Description: partial 16S ribosomal RNA
Source: RNAcentral